GUCUACGGCCAUGUCACCCUGAACGUGCCCGAUCUCGUCUGAUCUCAGAAGCUAAGCAGGGUCAGGCCUGGUUAGUACUAGGAUGGGAGAUGUUUGCAGAUGCUUUGCUUCAGUUU
This is a ribosomal RNA of Ochotona princeps (American pika), 116 nucleotides long. Lineage: Eukaryota; Metazoa; Chordata; Mammalia; Lagomorpha; Ochotonidae. The record is from Ensembl.